RNAcentral lists this transfer RNA (80 nucleotides) under Chloroflexota bacterium. Its description in RNAcentral is "tRNA-Tyr". The record is from RNAcentral. Lineage: Bacteria; Bacillati; Chloroflexota.
GUGGUCUGUUGUCGCGAAGACCGGCGCUGACUGUAGAUCAGCCGCCUUUGGCUGUGGGGGUUCGAUUCCCUCUCUGCCCA